GACAGAGGGUGCAAACGUUGCUCGGAAUUAUUGGGCGUAAAGAGCGUGUAGGCGGCCAUACAGGUCAGCUGUGAAAACUCGAGGCUCAACCUCGAGACGUCGGUUGAAACCGUAUGGCUAGAGUCCGGAAGAGGAGAGUGGAAUUCCCGGUGUAGCGGUGAAAUGCGCAGAUAUCAGGAGGAACACCGGUGGCGAAGGCGGGUCUCUGGGCCGAUACUGACGCUGAGGAGCGAAAAGCGUGGGGAGCGAACAGG
This 254-nucleotide ribosomal RNA is filed under the name uncultured bacterium. Its description in RNAcentral is "partial 16S ribosomal RNA". It matches the Rfam family "Bacterial small subunit ribosomal RNA", at positions 524 to 776 of the family's 1533-position model. The record is from RNAcentral.